GACGAACGCUGGCGGCGUGCUUAACACAUGCAAGUCGAACGGAAAGGCCCUGCUUUUGUGGGGUGCUCGAGUGGCGAACGGGUGAGUAACACGUGAGUAACCUGCCCUUGACUUUGGGAUAACUUCAGGAAACUGGGGCUAAUACCGGAUAGGAGCUCCUGCUGCAUGGGGGGGGUUGGAAAGUUUCGGCGGUUGGGGAUGGACUCGCGGCUUAUCAGCUUGUUGGUGGGGUAGUGGCUUACCAAGGCUUUGACGGGUAGCCGGCCUGAGAGGGUGACCGGCCACAUUGGGACUGAGAGACGGCCCAGACUCCUACGGGCGGCAGCAGUGGGGAAUAUUGCACAAUGGGCGGAAGCCUGAUGCAGCAACGCCGCGUGCGGGAUGACGGCCUUCGGGUUGUAAACCGCUUUCGCCUGUGACGAAGCGUGAGUGACGGUAAUGGGUAAAGAAGCACCGGCUAACUACGUG
RNAcentral lists this ribosomal RNA (468 nucleotides) under uncultured bacterium. RNAcentral describes it as "partial 16S ribosomal RNA". It matches the Rfam family "Bacterial small subunit ribosomal RNA", at positions 28 to 507 of the family's 1533-position model. The record is from RNAcentral.